This 24-nucleotide non-coding RNA is filed under the name Arabidopsis thaliana (thale cress). Lineage: Eukaryota; Viridiplantae; Streptophyta; Magnoliopsida; Brassicales; Brassicaceae. The record is from RNAcentral.
AUUACAUGUUGUGGUUUCAGGCCU